This 483-nucleotide ribosomal RNA is filed under the name uncultured bacterium. Its description in RNAcentral is "partial 16S ribosomal RNA". It matches the Rfam family "Bacterial small subunit ribosomal RNA", at positions 28 to 523 of the family's 1533-position model. The record is from RNAcentral.
GACGAACGCUGGCGGCGUGCUUAACACAUGCAAGUCGAACGGUGAAAGCGGAGCUUGCUCCGCUGGAUCAGUGGCGAACGGGUGAGUAACACGUGGGCAACCUGCCCUCCACUUCGGGAUAACUCCGGGAAACCGGGGCUAAUACCGGAUAUGACCUCUGCGGGCAUCCGCGGAGGUGGAAAGUUUUUCGGUGAAGGAUGGGCCCGCGGCCUAUCAGCUUGUUGGUGAGGUAGUGGCUCACCAAGGCGAGGACGGGUAGCCGGCCUGAGAGGGCGACCGGCCACGCUGGGACUGAGACACGGCCCAGACUACUACGGGAAGCAGCAGUGGGGAAUAGUGCACGAUGGGCGCAAGCCUGAUGCAGCGACGCCGCGUGAGGGAUGACGGCCUUCGGGUUGUAAACCUCUUUCAGUAGGGACGAAGCGCAAGUGACGGUACCUACAGAAGAAGGACCGGCCAACUACGUGCCAGCCGCCGCAGUAA